GACGAACGCUGGCGGCGUGCUUAACACAUGCAAGUCGAACGGUGAAGCGCCUUCCUUUUUGGUGGGUGUGGAUGAGUGGCGAACGGGUGAGUAACACGUGAGUAACCUGCCCCCUUCUUCUGGAUAACCGCAUGAAAGUGUGGCUAAUACGGGAUAUUCUGGGUCUGUCGCAUGAUGGGUCUGGGAAAGAUAUUGUUUCGGUGGGGGAUGGGCUCGCGGCCUAUCAGCUUGUUGGUGGGGUGAUGGCCUACCAAGGCGGUGACGGGUAGCCGGCCUGAGAGGGUGGACGGUCACAAGGGGACUGAGACACGGCACAGACUCCUACGGGAGGCAGCAGGGGGGAAUAUUGCACAAUGGGCGCAAGCCUGAUGCAGCGACGCCGCGUGAGGGAUGGAGGCCUUCGGGUUGUGAACCUCUUUCGCCAGUGAAGCAGGCCUGCCUCGUUUGUGGGUGGGUUGACGGUAGCUGGAUAAGAAGCGCCGGCUAACUACGUG
This 494-nucleotide ribosomal RNA is filed under the name uncultured bacterium. RNAcentral describes it as "partial 16S ribosomal RNA". It matches the Rfam family "Bacterial small subunit ribosomal RNA", at positions 28 to 507 of the family's 1533-position model. The record is from RNAcentral.